AGGCAAGAACUAACAGGAUCCCCAUAGUAAUGGCGAAUGAACAGGGAUGAGCUCAGCAUGGAAAUUGGGGCCUGUGGCUUUGACUUGUAAUCUUGUGAGGCAUUGCCAACAGAGGCGCAGAUGUAAGUCUCUUGGAAAAGAGCAUCAAUGAGGGUGAGAGUCCUGCUUGUCAUUUGCAGCCCCCCUGUGCACGGUGUGCCUUCUAAGAGUCACGUUCCUCGGGAUUGGAGCGCAAAGUGGGUGGUAACUUUCAUCUGAAGCUAAACAAUGGUUUGGGACCGAUAGGAAACAAGUACCAUGAGGGAAAGGUGAAAAGGACUUUGGAAAGAGAGUUAAAAGUGCCUGAAAUUGCUGAAGGGGAAGCGAAUGGAACCAGUGGUGCUGGGUGAGAUUGUCACAUGCUCCAGGGAUUGGUUGCUGCAUCAGCGCAAGCGAUCUGGCAAUUGUUGAACUGCACGUGUGUGGUGUGUCUUGCCUUGUGUGUCAUUGUGGGUUUAUGCAUUAAGACAAUUCAAAGUGCAUGGCAAUAUGUUUCUGAAUCUAUGAAUGUGAUUUGUUAUGUUUAUGCAUAAGCUUCUUGCUGUCUGUCUGGCUGCAGAGCUCGCCGUCCCCAUUUUUUUGGAGAGAUGAGUUGAGCAUUUCCUUCUGCACAGAUCUUGGCUAAAUGGUUCUAUUCGACCGUCUG
This 685-nucleotide ribosomal RNA is filed under the name Ornithocercus thumii. Its description in RNAcentral is "LSU rRNA". It matches the Rfam family "Eukaryotic large subunit ribosomal RNA", at positions 54 to 655 of the family's 3401-position model. The record is from RNAcentral. Lineage: Eukaryota; Dinophyceae; Dinophysales; Dinophysaceae.